GUCCGACAAUCCCGCAUUUGGGGGUUACAUUCGAGGCACUUGUUGCUUGUUUUAGGUACUCCCGGGAAGGUCUGAGACAAAGCUUUGCUCUUGUUGUGGAGCAAUACGUUCUAGCCGGGCGGCCUUUUCAUGAAGGUGCAGGGGAAUAGAAAGAAUAUCGACUGUGAUGUCACUAGGCCCAUGAUAUCCGGGACAACGGAUUAGGCGUAGACGUUGACGUACGAUUGGAAUUGCUUCUGUGGCUUGCUUUUCGAGUAUAAUGUGCGGGUUGCUUUUGUUUGACUGCAAAACUCAAUUCAGACUAAUCUGUCGAGGGC
This 317-nucleotide RNase P RNA is filed under the name Daphnia magna. RNAcentral describes it as "Nuclear RNase P". It matches the Rfam family "Nuclear RNase P". Rfam says of the family: Ribonuclease P (RNase P) is a ubiquitous endoribonuclease, found in archaea, bacteria and eukarya as well as chloroplasts and mitochondria. Lineage: Eukaryota; Metazoa; Arthropoda; Branchiopoda; Diplostraca; Daphniidae. The record is from Rfam by way of RNAcentral.